AUGCUCAACUCAGACAGUGCUGAUGUUGUUUUAUAUUCUCUACGUCAGAAGUACCGAGACACUGACAAGUUGAUAGUUCCCAGAUGGGUGACGACCAAGAUCCGUGAUGGAAAUAUUGAUUCCAAUGUGCUGAAUUGGUUUACGAGAUCAGAGAGCCCCUCUACACCCAAGAAUCCCAUUAUGGAAUUGAUAGACAACGAUGAUGAUGCGUUUGACAAGAUUGUUGGCAUGGGAAGAGUCACCAGGAGUGCUGCUGCUGCCAAGGGUUUAUCCCCACUUGCUGGAAUAGUGGCCCGUAGAGCUGGUGGUGCUAGGAAGGAUCCUGCUUUGGAUUCUGGCAAUGUUACAAGCACGAAGCGUGCACCCAGAGCUCCUAUAAAGUUUUGCUCCCCUGUGCAGCAGCUUCACCCUCAUAGAUUCCCUCACCUAGACAAGGCUCGCAAGUUGUAUAAUCUGUUGCUUAGCGAUGAAGCAUGUGAGAGAACAAUACAUUCUCAAUGA
This 501-nucleotide ribosomal RNA is filed under the name Triticum aestivum (bread wheat). RNAcentral's name for it is "partial small subunit ribosomal RNA". Lineage: Eukaryota; Viridiplantae; Streptophyta; Magnoliopsida; Poales; Poaceae. The record is from RNAcentral.